This 117-nucleotide ribosomal RNA is filed under the name Columba livia (rock pigeon). The record is from RNAcentral. Lineage: Eukaryota; Metazoa; Chordata; Aves; Columbiformes; Columbidae.
AUAUACAGCCAUAGCACCCUGAGAACGCCCCAUCCCGUCUGAUGUGGGAAGCUAAGCAGGGUCGGGCCUGGUUAGUGCUUGGAUGGGAGACCAAUGGUACCUGGGGGGCAUUAGAAG